GCCACUGACACGCAGCACAAUGAUAAUGUCACUGAUUCUACUGAAUCAUCAGCAGACAUCAUUCUGACCCAUUCUGCUAAAUCUCAUUCUGUUCACCCUGGAGAGACUGUCUCCCUCAGCUGUAAGGCCAGUUCAGGCAUUAGUGAUUAUCUCAACUGUUACAUGCAGAAACCUGGAGAAGCUCCUAAACUCCUGGUUUAUUAUGCUUUACUCGUCAGACUGGGAUUCCAUGUCGUUUCAGUGGGAGUGUAUCUGCUUCUCAUUAUACUCUGACUGUCAGUGGAGUCCAGGCUGAAGAUGCUGGAGAUUACUACUGUGAGCAGAGGUACAACCGGAUUCACUGUGUCAGAGCGUUGUACAAAAACCUCCCUCAGCUAAAGAGGAACUGCUCUGACUCAACAGCUGCAGAGCUACGGAGUCUCCUGUAGUCUAAAGUACUCUAAACACCUUUUCAUCAAAAUAUGACACUACAAUUCAAUAAUGGAAUUGGUUAGACGUCUAUGGACUAUGUUACUGUAUAUAUCUCUCAAUGUAUUCUGCAUAAAUGGACAUUUGUGUAAACACACUGGGACCGCUAAGGAAAUGGAGCUGUAAGAAAUGCUUGAUUUUGCAGGAAAUGUUGAACAACAUUCAGAAAAUGUUGAGAUAUGAGUGAUAUGUGACUUUGUUUGUUGUACUCAGUCAGUUGGAAAUGUGCUUAGAGUUUUGAAACAUGAGCCAUUUUGAUGAUUUGUUUUGGUUUUUAUGCUUAGAUUUCUGAAACUGUACCAAAUACUUGAUUGAAAAACACCAUAAAGUAAAACACCCACUUUAUCACCCAAA
This is a non-coding RNA of Salmo salar (Atlantic salmon), 822 nucleotides long. Lineage: Eukaryota; Metazoa; Chordata; Actinopteri; Salmoniformes; Salmonidae. The record is from RefSeq and is a predicted model, not a curated record.